UACGUAAGGUCCGAGCGUUGUCCGGAAUCAUUGGGCGUAAAGGGUACGUAGGCGGAUAAGCAAGUUAGAAGUGAAAUCCUAUAGCUCAACUAUAGUAAGCUUUUAAAACUGCUGAUCUUGAGGUAUGGAGAGGAAAGUGGAAUUCCUAGUGUAGCGGUGAAAUGCGUAGAUAUUAGGAGGAAUACCGGUGGCGAAGGCGACUUUCUGGCCAUAAACUGACGCUGAGGCGCGAAAGCGUGGGGAGCAAACGGG
Molecule: ribosomal RNA, 252 nt
Filed under: uncultured bacterium
Lineage: Bacteria
Description: partial 16S ribosomal RNA
Rfam family: Bacterial small subunit ribosomal RNA
Source: RNAcentral